UACGUAGGUGGCAAGCGUUGUCCGGAUUUACUGGGCGUAAAGAGCGCGCAGGCGGUCGUCCAAGUCGCGUGUGAAAGCCCCCGGCUCAACUGGGGAGGGUCACGCGAUACUGGUCGACUCGAAGGCAGGAGAGGGUAGUGGAAUUCCCGGUGUAGUGGUGAAAUGCGCAGAUAUCGGGAAGAACACCCGUGGCGAAGGCGGCUCUCUGGGACGGUACUGACGCUGAGACGCGAAAGCGUGGGGAGCGAACAGG
RNAcentral lists this ribosomal RNA (253 nucleotides) under uncultured bacterium. RNAcentral describes it as "partial 16S ribosomal RNA". It matches the Rfam family "Bacterial small subunit ribosomal RNA", at positions 524 to 776 of the family's 1533-position model. The record is from RNAcentral.